RNAcentral lists this ribosomal RNA (335 nucleotides) under Stutzerimonas stutzeri. RNAcentral describes it as "bacterial SSU rRNA". It matches the Rfam family "Bacterial small subunit ribosomal RNA", at positions 1 to 338 of the family's 1533-position model. Lineage: Bacteria; Pseudomonadati; Pseudomonadota; Gammaproteobacteria; Pseudomonadales; Pseudomonadaceae. The record is from RNAcentral.
GAACUGAAGAGUUUGAUCAUGGCUCAGAUUGAACGCUGGCGGCAGGCCUAACACAUGCAAGUCGAGCGGAUGAGUGGAGCUUGCUCCAUGAUUCAGCGGCGGACGGGUGAGUAAUACCUAGGAAUCUGCCUGGUAGUGGGGGACAACGUUUCGAAAGGAACGCUAAUACCGCAUACGUCCUACGGGAGAAAGUGGGGGAUCUUCGGACCUCACGCUAUCAGAUGAGCCUAGGUCGGAUUAGCUAGUUGGUGAGGUAAAGGCUCACCAAGGCGACGAUCCGUAACUGGUCUGAGAGGAUGAUCAGUCACACUGGAACUGAGACACGGUCCAGACUC